CCAGUGGUGGUCCAGUGGUAGAAGUCUUGCCUCCCAUGCAGGAGUCCUGGGUUCGAUUCCUGGCCAGUGCA
Molecule: transfer RNA, 71 nt
Filed under: Loxodonta africana (African savanna elephant)
Lineage: Eukaryota; Metazoa; Chordata; Mammalia; Proboscidea; Elephantidae
Rfam family: tRNA
About the family: Transfer RNA (tRNA) molecules are approximately 80 nucleotides in length. Their secondary structure includes four short double-helical elements and three loops (D, anti-codon, and T loops). Further hydrogen bonds mediate the characteristic L-shaped molecular structure. tRNAs have two regions of fundamental functional importance: the anti-codon, which is responsible for specific mRNA codon recognition, and the 3' end, to which the tRNAs corresponding amino acid is attached (by aminoacyl-tRNA synthetases). tRNAs cope with the degeneracy of the genetic code in two manners: having more than one tRNA (with a specific anti-codon) for a particular amino acid; and 'wobble' base-pairing, i.e. permitting non-standard base-pairing at the 3rd anti-codon position.
Source: Rfam by way of RNAcentral